This 376-nucleotide ribosomal RNA is filed under the name uncultured delta proteobacterium. Its description in RNAcentral is "bacterial SSU rRNA". It matches the Rfam family "Bacterial small subunit ribosomal RNA", at positions 485 to 859 of the family's 1533-position model. The record is from RNAcentral. Lineage: Bacteria; Deltaproteobacteria.
AAGAAGCACCGGCUAACUCCGUGCCAGCAGCCGCGGUAAUACGGAGGGUGCGAGCGUUGUUCGGAAUUACUGGGCGUAAAGCGCGUGUAGGCGGCCUUGCAAGUCAGGCGUGAAAGCCCUCGGCUUAACCGGGGAAGUGCGUCUGAAACUGCUUGGCUUGAGUACGGGAGAGGGAGGCGGAAUUCCCAGUGUAGAGGUGAAAUUCGUAGAUAUUGGGAGGAACACCGGUGGCGAAAGCGGCCUCCUGGACCGAUACUGACGCUGAGACGCGAAAGCGUGGGGAGCAAACAGGAUUAGAUACCCUGGUAGUCCACGCGGUAAACGAUGGGCACUAGGUGUGGGGGGUAUCCACUCCUCCCGUGCCGAAGCUAACGCA